CCAGGAAGCCGUCGAGCCUGCCGCCCAGGCCCCCGAGCAGCCGUAGGGCCUCCUGCACGGCCCCCUCCUCCUGAUGCCACCGGGCGGUCAGUGAGGACACCUCCCUCCUGUAGGCGUAGAGCUGGUGAUGGAAUCUUUGGCGUGGACCAAUCCAUUGUUAACCCAACUCUGGGGAAGAACGGGAGACAGGGGACACGGGUUCGAGCCCUGGUCUGGGAAGAUCCCACAUGCUGCGGAGCAACUGGGCCGGUGAGCCACAACUACUGAGCCUGCACGUCUGGAGCUUGUGCUCUGCAACAAAAGAGGCCGCAACAGUGAGAGGCCCGUGCACCACGAUGAAGAGUGGCCCCUGCUUGCCGCAACUAGAGAAAGCCCUCGCACAGAAACGAAGACCGAACACAGCCAAAAAUAAAAAUAAAUAAAUUAAAAACCAAAAAAACAAGGAAAACCAGGGGGCAGCCUUGUUUUCUGCUUAGCGGAUGGCAAGAAAAAUAAGUAGGAUCCAGGAGGGAGUU
Long non-coding RNA from Balaenoptera acutorostrata (minke whale), 515 nucleotides. RefSeq lists it as uncharacterized. The record is from RefSeq and is a predicted model, not a curated record. NCBI's taxonomy places the organism in Eukaryota, Metazoa, Chordata, Mammalia, Artiodactyla, Balaenopteridae. The transcript has 3 exons.